UCCUUUGUGGUGUAGUGGUCAGCACACUCGGCAAGUAUUCGAGAGGUCCGGGUUCGAAUCCCGGCGAGGGCA
RNAcentral lists this transfer RNA (72 nucleotides) under Stegodyphus mimosarum. It matches the Rfam family "tRNA". From Rfam's summary of the family: Transfer RNA (tRNA) molecules are approximately 80 nucleotides in length. Their secondary structure includes four short double-helical elements and three loops (D, anti-codon, and T loops). Further hydrogen bonds mediate the characteristic L-shaped molecular structure. tRNAs have two regions of fundamental functional importance: the anti-codon, which is responsible for specific mRNA codon recognition, and the 3' end, to which the tRNAs corresponding amino acid is attached (by aminoacyl-tRNA synthetases). tRNAs cope with the degeneracy of the genetic code in two manners: having more than one tRNA (with a specific anti-codon) for a particular amino acid; and 'wobble' base-pairing, i.e. permitting non-standard base-pairing at the 3rd anti-codon position. Lineage: Eukaryota; Metazoa; Arthropoda; Arachnida; Araneae; Eresidae. The record is from Rfam by way of RNAcentral.